This 253-nucleotide ribosomal RNA is filed under the name uncultured bacterium. RNAcentral's name for it is "partial 16S ribosomal RNA". It matches the Rfam family "Bacterial small subunit ribosomal RNA", at positions 524 to 776 of the family's 1533-position model. The record is from RNAcentral.
UACGAAGGGGGCUAGCGUUGCUCGGAUUGACUGGGCGUAAAGGGCGCGUAGGCGGCUUGUCAAGUCAGGGGUGAAAUCCUGCAGCUCAACUGUAGAAGUGCCUUUGAUACUGGCGAGCUCGAGGGAGGUAGGGGUGGGUGGAACUUCCGGUGGAGCGGUGAAAUGCGUUGAUAUCGGAAGGAACGCCGGUGGCGAAAGCGACCCACUGGAUCUCUACUGACGCUGAGGCGCGAAAGCCAGGGGAGCAAACGGG